Xylaria sp. FL1777 is the source of this 94-nucleotide non-coding RNA. The record is from the annotation of a GenBank genome assembly. NCBI's taxonomy places the organism in Eukaryota, Fungi, Ascomycota, Sordariomycetes, Xylariales, Xylariaceae.
GGCCUCGUGGCCCAAUGGCAAGGCGUCUGACUACGAUUGAAAUCAAUGAUGAAUCGCGAUCAGGAGAUUCUGGGUUCGACCCCCAGCGAGGUCA